Molecule: long non-coding RNA, 458 nt
Filed under: Arachis ipaensis
Lineage: Eukaryota; Viridiplantae; Streptophyta; Magnoliopsida; Fabales; Fabaceae
Description: long non-coding RNA (AIPA_LNC000793)
Source: RNAcentral
GAGCUAAUCAGCUGAUUAUGUUUCCAAUCCUUUCAUUCAACUUAGACCUUACACAUAGUUUAAUUACUCAUAUAUUAUAUUUCUUUUACCACACACACAAGAGUUGACGCUGCAUAACUUUGAAUAUUAACACAACAACUAAAAAACUUGAAACACUCAAAGGACGUAUAACAGCAAAAUAAGUAAUAAGUGAUUACAUGCAGGAUUAGGAUACAUUGCCAAAGGAUCAUGGUUGCCCUAUUAAGAUUAAGCCUAUGACCUAACUUGUAGGACUAAUUAAAGGGGCACCUUUCUGUUUUUCGCUUCCCUGCCCAUCAUCAUCAUUGAUGCAAACACCUUCUCCUCUGAACUUGAGACUCAUUUUGAGGAUGAUAGAAGCUGAAAAUUAUAUGGUAUAUGGUAAGGCCUUAACAGUAAUGUGUGCUCAUCAAGUCUCAAUUGUGAAGCCCAAGAGAGGG